RNAcentral lists this ribosomal RNA (492 nucleotides) under uncultured bacterium. RNAcentral describes it as "partial 16S ribosomal RNA". It matches the Rfam family "Bacterial small subunit ribosomal RNA", at positions 29 to 507 of the family's 1533-position model. The record is from RNAcentral.
AGUGAACGCUGGCGGUAGGCCUAACACAUGCAAGUCGAACGGCAGCACAGUAAGAGCUUGCUCUUACGGGUGGCGAGUGGCGGACGGGUGAGGAAUACAUCGGAAUCUACUUUUUCGUGGGGGAUCACGUAGGGAAACUUACGCUAAUACCGCAUACGACCUACGGGUGAAAGCAGGGGAUCUUCGGACCUUGCGCGAUUGAAUGAGCCGAUGUCGGAUUAGCUAGUUGGCGGGGUAAAGGCCCACCAAGGCGACGAUCCGUAGCUGGUCUGAGAGGAUGAUCAGCGACACUGGAACUGAGACACGGACCAGACUCCUACGGGAGGCAGCAGUGGGGAAUAGUGGACAAUGGGCGCAAGCCUGAUCCAGCCAGACCGCGUGGGUGAAGAAGGCCUUCGGGUUGUAAAGCCCUUUUGUUGGGAAAGAAAAGCAGCAGGUUAAGACCCCGCUGUUCUGACGGUACCCAAAGAAUAAGCACCGGCUAACUUCGUG